RNAcentral lists this small nuclear RNA (110 nucleotides) under Eutypa lata UCREL1. Its description in RNAcentral is "U5 spliceosomal RNA". It matches the Rfam family "U5 spliceosomal RNA". From Rfam's summary of the family: U5 RNA is a component of both types of known spliceosome. The precise function of this molecule is unknown, though it is known that the 5' loop is required for splice site selection and p220 binding, and that both the 3' stem-loop and the Sm site are important for Sm protein binding and cap methylation. Lineage: Eukaryota; Fungi; Ascomycota; Sordariomycetes; Xylariales; Diatrypaceae. The record is from Rfam by way of RNAcentral.
UGGGAGUGGGACUAUGUAACGAACAGCCCUCUUGCCUUUUACCAGAUGGCUCCUUGCAUAGCCCAAAAUACUCCAUUCCCUUAAUCUUUGGAACCACUUCUCUGGAGCAU